This 253-nucleotide ribosomal RNA is filed under the name uncultured bacterium. RNAcentral's name for it is "partial 16S ribosomal RNA". It matches the Rfam family "Bacterial small subunit ribosomal RNA", at positions 524 to 776 of the family's 1533-position model. The record is from RNAcentral.
UACGUAGGCAGCAAGCGUUGUUCGGAGUUACUGGGCGUAAAGAGUGCGUAGGCGGUGUCGAAAGUUUGGCGUGAAAUCUCCCGGCUUAACUGGGAGGGUGCGCCGAAAACUGCGGUGCUGGAGUGUGGGAAAGGCAAGCGGAAUUCCUGGUGUAGCGGUGAAAUGCGUAGAGAUCAGGAAGAACACCAGUGGCGAAGGCGCUCUGCUAGGCCGUAACUGACACUGAGGGACGAAAGCUAGGGGAGCGAAUGGG